UUCGUUCGACGGUUGAUCCAGGUCAGGUAGUAAGUGAGCGUCGAGCGAGCAUGUGGCGGCAAUGUGGCAUCCGGGCAUUUGUGAUUUGGCGCCAAUUCUAGUAAUGCCAUGCCAUCGCAGAUCGCUGGUCUCAUUUCAUUCGUAACCGACACGUUUCGUAGUGAACAAUGCUGCUUAUAUCGAUAGUCGGUUAUUCAAGAAUUGUUGUCAUCUCUGUGAAAAUGAAUAGCAGAAACUCGUCGUUCAUGUAAAUAAAGUUCAUAAUGUCUCAAUUGAAAUGUGUCUUCGAACUAUGGUUGGAGUUAUUUUGAAAAUGCUGUUUUUCUACCUAGAAGGAAUUGAGUGAACUGCUGACCAGUUGAAUCAUCUAACAUCAUGGAGUGAAGAUCAGUUCAAGCAGCAAAUAUCACAAUAUCACCUCUUCGAAAUGACGUACCCAAUGGUCUCUGGUUAGAUCUACAAAGAUUACCAUGUCAUAGAAUUUCCAACCAAAUGCCUCAUCCAAUUGAUGAUACGAUGAAAUGAUGAGACAGUUCCAGAAUCGCAUAACCAUAAAAGACGUACCGAAGAUUUCUGGUGACCUAUUCUAGCAUAUCGAUCUAGCACACGAUGAUGUCUCCGCAUUUCCAAUUAAAUACCUAAUUCAAUUAAAAUGACAGGGAAUUUCCAAAAUCAUUGGUCCGCAAAUUGAAGAGCCUCUUCGAGACGACCUACUGGAUGACUUAUGAUUAUUUCUAGAAGCAUAACCAUACAAUUAUGUCACCGAAUUUCCAACCUAAUGCCUCAGUUGAAUCCAAUGAUUGGCAGUUCCAGAAUUGUUGGCCAACAGAUGACAUACCCUCUCCGAAUUGACGUACCGAAUGAUUUCUGGUAACUUCUUUCAUCAUAACAACAAUAUAAUGUCAUAGAAGUCACAAUGAAAGUCAUCAUCCCAUCGACGAAAUCAUAGGGCAGUUCCAGAAUCACUGAUUCUCGGAUUUCACAGAAUUUACAAUAAAAUACAUCAUCCAAUCGACGAAAUCAUAGGGUAGAAUCACCGCACCCCAGAUUUCAUUAUCUUUUCAAAACGACGAAUGGUUUAUGGUGAUUUCUAGAAGCAUAAUCACACGAUGAUGUCACCGAAUUUCCAAUCAAAUACCUCGUCCUAUUCUAAUGGUUGGGCAGUUCCAGAAGCACUGGUCAAGAUAUAACAUCCCCGCAGCAAUGUGCCAAGUGAUUUUCUGUGGUUUCUAGAAGCAUAACCACACGAUGAUGUCACCGAAUUUCCAAUCAAAUACCUCAUCCUAUUCUAAUGGUUGGGCAGUUCCUGAAGCACUGGUCAAGAUAUAACAUCCCCGCAGCAAUGUGCCAAGUGAUUUUCUGUGGUUUCUAGAAGCAUAACCACACGAUGAUGUCACCGAAUUUCCAAUCAAAUACCUCAUCCUAUUCUAAUGGUUGGGCAGUUCCAGAAGCACUGGUCAAGAUAUAACAUCCCCGCAGCAAUGUGCCAAGCAAUUUUCUGUGGUUUCUAGAAGCAUAACCACACGAUGAUGUCACCGAAUUUCCAAUCAAAUACCUCAUCCUAUUCUAAUGGUUGGGCAGUUCCUGAAGCACUGGUCAAGAUAUAACAUCCCCGCAGCAAUGUGCCAAGUGAUUUUCUGUGGUUUCUAGAAGCAUAACCACACGAUGAUGUCACCGAAUUUCCAAUCAAAUACCUCAUCCUAUUCUAAUGGUUGGGCAGUUCCAGAAGCACUGGUCAA
Harmonia axyridis is the source of this 1739-nucleotide long non-coding RNA. RefSeq lists it as uncharacterized. The record is from RefSeq and is a predicted model, not a curated record. The transcript is spliced from 2 exons. NCBI's taxonomy places the organism in Eukaryota, Metazoa, Arthropoda, Insecta, Coleoptera, Coccinellidae.